This 75-nucleotide transfer RNA is filed under the name Ixodes scapularis (black-legged tick). Its description in RNAcentral is "tRNA-Ser". It matches the Rfam family "tRNA". From Rfam's summary of the family: Transfer RNA (tRNA) molecules are approximately 80 nucleotides in length. The record is from RNAcentral. Lineage: Eukaryota; Metazoa; Arthropoda; Arachnida; Ixodida; Ixodidae.
ACCUCUGGUUAGCUCAGUCGGUAGAGCGCUCCACUGGAAAUGGAGAGGUCCCGGGUUCGAUACCCGGACCAGGCU